CGUGCCCGCUCCAGUGCCCUCAUGUCACCUCCUCACGUGGCGCUUUAUCACCUCACAUCCUCCCAGGAGGAAGCACUACGACAGAGAGGGCACAGUCACAUAACCUGUGUUUCAGUCCUGUCGCAAUCACUCUGUUUUACCAGAUCCAGGAACUAAAGCCACAUCAGAUGUUUAUUUUAAGGAGCUAGAGAAACAUCUAAGUCCAUGCACCAAAUGAGACAGGGGACACAUCCGGAGGCAGACGACUCAAGGUUGGAUGUUUGAACGCUGAGAUCCCAAGUAUUUACUCCUGCCCCUAACAUUUUCCGGGCCCCAAUCUUCUGUGCUCUGUGGUCCUAAACGCUGGGCUUUCACUCGAGCGCUCGCCAUCUGUUCAAACAAACCCAAAGCCGCUGUUUUUUCUUCUCUCACGGGUAAGUUACGCACCAUAAAAUGCACCCGUUGUAUUUGUAUGGUCCAGGAUUUUUAGCAAAGUUAUGGACCUGUGCAACCACCACCACUAUCCAGCCUUCAGACGUUUCCAUGGACCCCCUAAAAGCUCCUUCAUUGUCACCUGUAGUCUGUCUCUCUCUCCCACCCAAACCCCACAAUCACUGAUCUGCUUUCUGUCUCUAUCAGAGCUUCUUUUUAGAACACAGUUUUGGUUGUGACCAUCCAUAAAUACUUCUACGUGAAGCUGGGGUGGUCCUCUGGGUAAGAAUACAAAUUGCGUUCCUCAAUUUAAAAAAGAUUAAAAAAAUAUUUAUUUAUGUUUGAGAGAGAAACUGUGAGAGGGGGAGGGGCACUCAACCGACUGAGCCACCCAGGCACCCCUGCACUCCUCCAUUUUUUACAACAGAAUGUAACCUCACGCCUGCGUGUCUGUCUUUGGCCAUGACCAGACCUGCCCAAGGAAAGCAGCGCAGUGGACAUGAACGGAAAAUUGUUAGGCCUUGCAGUAUAGGAGCAGGGAGAGGGAGAUUGCUGUGAAUUCUAGCACACAAGACAGGAAGUUCAAGGCCUAGGAUGUGGCUAUCGGGCCCAAGUAACAUGGCUUUCCUCCGAGUAGCAGACAGACAGCUUUACAUGGAGGUACAAGCUGUUUCUGGGUGAUAAGCAGUAAACGUGGUUCUAUAGGUAUUGGACCCAGCGGACAUCUCGUUUUGUGUGGGCUCGCAAGACACGCCUCGGUGAGAUACGGAAGAGGCAGGCAUCAGAGAACUUCCUGGGAGCGCCUGGGUGACUCAGUCGGUUAAGUGUUCGACUUCCACUCAGGUCAUGAUCUCACGGUUCGUGAGUUUGAGCCCCGCUCUGCGCUGACAGCUCAGAG
Felis catus (domestic cat) is the source of this 1309-nucleotide long non-coding RNA. RefSeq lists it as uncharacterized. NCBI's taxonomy places the organism in Eukaryota, Metazoa, Chordata, Mammalia, Carnivora, Felidae. The transcript is spliced from 3 exons. The record is from RefSeq and is a predicted model, not a curated record.